This 981-nucleotide long non-coding RNA is filed under the name Capra hircus (goat). RNAcentral describes it as "lncRNA (ENSCHIG00000006133.1)". The record is from RNAcentral. Lineage: Eukaryota; Metazoa; Chordata; Mammalia; Artiodactyla; Bovidae.
UGGAGGGAGCUGGUGGGGCCUACAGACCAACAGGGGUCCCAGGACAAUGAGGACCCCUGGUCCCCUCCAUAUAGUGAUCAGGAAUUCCCAGCAGCCCUGAAACUGGCUCGUGGGUCCUCACCCUGUUCCCCGAGUUCCAGAACGUACCCACAGCCAGCAGGGGUGUGGUUGGCCAGGGCCGCUCCCCAUCGCCCCUAACAGCUGUUUAUUUCUUGGAGUCUGGUGCACAUGGAAGGGCAGGUCUCCUCCGUCCUUCCACUGGGGCUCAGUCCCGUGGCCAGAGGCUUGGCCAGACAGGGUGGCUCAAGGCCUGAGCGGACGCGAGGCUGAGGUCCAAGGACCGGAGUCCUCCCGACUUGGGCUUUGUGGCGUGGAGACCAGACCCACGUUCCAGAAGUCAUCCCUGAACACGAAGCACGCCUGCCUUCCAGCCAGGACCACGGCAGCUGCAUAUGUUGGCGUGAUUGAUGAGAGCCGCCACAGUCAAGCAAGCAGCCCUGGGCGACCAGUUUACCCUUCCCUGCUAGGGUUUCAGCUGCCAGUUGCCCCCAUUCUGUGACAGCUUCUCCUUCUCCUCACCUUGUCAUCAAGCCAAGAUUGUACACUGUAGGAGUACAGGUAAGCAUCUGCCUCCAUAAUCAUUGCCAACAGCUCUCCAUUAUCAACUGCCAGGGGUGCUUCAAAGCAAUGUGGAGCUCUUUCUCUUGACACAGAGACCCAGUGUUUUUAUAUCCAAAAAAAAAAAAAAAAAAGACACCUCUGCCUUAGCUGACCAGGGAACUUCACAUUUAAGUUUUAUUUAAUUGUGUCACACAUCACUAUAAUAUUAAAAAGCAGGUCAGAUCAUCCCCAAUCUUACCCCCACCCCCUGCAGGUAUUCUCGAUUAAUCUAUGCAGAGACUUGCCACUCUAGAUAUAAUUUCAUUCUGAUUAAUAUAUCCCCAUAUACUCAAAAAAUUAAAGGAAUUUUUCAAAUAUUUU